GACGAACGCUGGCGGCGUGCUUAACACAUGCAAGUCGAGCGGUAAGGCCCUUUCGGGGGUACGACGAGCGGCGAACGGGUAGAGUAACACGUGGUGACCUGCCCUCAGCUCUGGGAUAAGCCUGGGAAACUGGGUCUAAUACCGGAUAUGACUCCAUGACGCAUGUUGUGGGGUGGAAAGCCUUGUGCGGCUGGGGAUGGGCCCGCGGCCUAUCAGCUUGUUGGU
Molecule: ribosomal RNA, 225 nt
Filed under: uncultured bacterium
Lineage: Bacteria
Description: partial 16S ribosomal RNA
Rfam family: Bacterial small subunit ribosomal RNA
Source: RNAcentral